Molecule: ribosomal RNA, 1444 nt
Filed under: metagenome
Description: bacterial SSU rRNA
Rfam family: Bacterial small subunit ribosomal RNA
Source: RNAcentral
AGAGUUUGAUCCUGGCUCAGGAUGAACGCUGGCGGCGUGCUUAACACAUGCAAGUCGAACGAACCUUCGGGUUAGUGGCGGACGGGUGAGUAACGCGUGAGAAUCUGCCCUCAGGAGGGGGAUAACGGCUGGAAACGGCCGCUAAUACCCCAUAUGCCGAGAGGUGAAACGAGUUUUCGCCUGAGGAUGAGCUCGCGUCUGAUUAGCUAGUUGGUGGGGUAAGAGCCUACCAAGGCAUCGAUCAGUAGCUGGUCUGAGAGGAUGAUCAGCCACACUGGGACUGAGACACGGCCCAGACUCCUACGGGAGGCAGCAGUGGGGAAUUUUCCGCAAUGGGCGAAAGCCUGACGGAGCAACGCCGCGUGAGGGAUGAAGGCCUCUGGGCUGUAAACCUCUUUUAUCAAGGAAGAAGAUCUGACGGUACUUGAUGAAUAAGCCACGGCUAAUUCCGUGCCAGCAGCCGCGGUAAUAAGGGAGUGGCAAGCGUUAUCCGGAAUUAUUGGGCGUAAAGCGUCCGCAGGCGGCCUGAUAAGUCUGUUGUCAAAGCGUGGAGCUCAACUCCAUUUCGGCAAUGGAAACUGUGAGGCUUGAGUGUGGUAGGGGCAGAGGGAAUUCCCGGUGUAGCGGUGAAAUGCGUAGAUAUCGGGAAGAACACCAGUGGCGAAGGCGCUCUGCUGGGCCAUAACUGACGCUCAUGGACGAAAGCCAGGGGAGCGAAAGGGAUUAGAUACCCCUGUAGUCCUGGCCGUAAACGAUGAACACUAGGUGUCGGGGGAAUCGACCCCCUCGGUGUCGUAGCCAACGCGUUAAGUGUUCCGCCUGGGGAGUACGCACGCAAGUGUGAAACUCAAAGGAAUUGACGGGGGCCCGCACAAGCGGUGGAGUAUGUGGUUUAAUUCGAUGCAACGCGAAGAACCUUACCAGGGUUUGACAUCCUGCGAAUCCCUUGGAAACGAGGGAGUGCCUUCGGGAGCGCAGAGACAGGUGGUGCAUGGCUGUCGUCAGCUCGUGUCGUGAGAUGUUGGGUUAAGUCCCGCAACGAGCGCAACCCACGUCUUUAGUUGCCAGCAUUGAGUUGGGCACUCUAGAGAGACCGCCGGUGAUAAACCGGAGGAAGGUGUGGAUGACGUCAAGUCAUCAUGCCCCUUACAUCCUGGGCUACACACGUACUACAAUGCUACGGACAAAGGGCAGCAAACUCGCGAGAGCUAGCAAAUCCCAUAAACCGUGGCUCAGUUCAGAUCGUAGGCUGCAACUCGCCUACGUGAAGGAGGAAUCGCUAGUAAUCGCAGGUCAGCAUACUGCGGUGAAUACGUUCCCGGGCCUUGUACACACCGCCCGUCACACCAUGGAAGUUGGCCACGCCCGAAGCCGUUACUCCAACCCUUGUGGAGGAGGACGUCGAAGGUGGGGCUGAUGACUGGGGUGAAGUCGUAACAAGGUA